This 1389-nucleotide ribosomal RNA is filed under the name Photoblepharon steinetzi symbiont. Its description in RNAcentral is "16S ribosomal RNA". It matches the Rfam family "Bacterial small subunit ribosomal RNA". Lineage: Bacteria; Pseudomonadati; Pseudomonadota; Gammaproteobacteria; Vibrionales; Vibrionaceae. The record is from RNAcentral.
GACUGGCGGACGGGUGAGUAAUGCCUAGGAAGUUGCCCAAUAGAGGGGGAUAACCAUUGGAAACGAUGGCUAAUACCGCAUAAUCUCCUUGGAGCAAAGCAGGGGACCGAAUGGCCUUGGGCUAUUGGAUAUGCCUAGGUGAGAUUAGCUUGUUGGUGAGGUAAUGGCUCACCAAGGCGACGAUCUCUAGCUGGUCUGAGAGGAUGAACAGCCACACUGGAACUGAGACACGGUCCAGACUCCUACGGGAGGCAGCAGUGGGGAAUAUUGCACAAUGGGCGGAAGCCUGAUGCAGCCAUGUCGCGUGUGUGAAGAAGGCCUUAGGGUUGUAAAGCACUUUCAACAGUAAGGAAGGAUGUGUGCUUAAUACGUAUAUAUUUUGACGUUAGCUGUAGAAGAAGCACCGGCUAACUCCGUGCCAGCAGCCGCGGUAAUACGGAGGGUGCGAGCGUUAAUCGGAAUUACUGGGCGUAAAGCGCAUGCAGGUGGUUCGAUAAGUCAGAUGUGAAAGCCCGGGGCUUAACCUCGGAACUGCAUUUGAAACUAUAGAGCUGGAGUACUGUAGAGGGGGGUGGAAUUUCAGGUGUAGCGGUGAAAUGCGUAGAGAUCUGAAGGAAUACCGGUGGCGAAGGCGGCCCCCUGGACAGAUACUGACACUCAGAUGCGAAAGCGUGGGGAGCAAACAGGAUUAGAUACCCUGGUAGUCCACGCUGUAAACGAUGUCUACUUGGAGGUUGUGGCCUUGAGCUGUGGCUUUCGUAGCUAACGCGUUAAGUAGACCGCCUGGGGAGUACGGUCGCAAGAUUAAAACUCAAAUGAAUUGACGGGGGCCCGCACAAGCGUGGAGCAUGUGGUUUAAUUCGAUGCAACGCGAAGAACCUUACCUACUUUUGACAUCCAAAGAAGCCAGUGGAGACAUUGGUGUGCCUUCGGGAACUUUGAGACAGGUGCUGCAUGGCUGUCGUCAGCUCGUGUUGUGAAAUGUUGGGUUAAGUCCCGCAACGAGCGCAACCCUUAUCCUUGUUUGCCAGCGAGUAGUGUCGGGAACUUCAGGGAGACUGCCGGUGAUAAACCGGAGGAAGGUGGGGACGACGUCAAGUCAUCAUGGCCCUUACAAGUAGGGCUACACACGUGCUACAAUGGCACAUACAGAGGGUUGCAAACUAGCGAUGGUAAGCGAAUCCCAAAAAGUGUGUCGUAGUCCGGAUUGGAGUCUGCAACUCGACUCCAUGAAGUCGGAAUCGCUAGUAAUCGUAGAUCAGAACGCUACGGUGAAUACGUUCCCGGGCCUUGUACACACCGCCCGUCACACCAUGGGAGUGGGCUGCAAAAGAAGUGGGUAGUUUAACUUUCGAGAGGACGCUCACCACUUUGUGGUUCAUGACUGGG